GCUUUGGCUAAAGUGAAAAACUAAGAACUGACACUAGGUUUAAGCAUCCCAUGAGUCAUUGGUGGCCUUGGACCAGUCUUUUCAGGAAAAGAGGAUGAAAAUUACACUGGACCUGCUCUAAGAGAUCAUGACAGGUGACCAAUUGGAAAUAGCAAAUAUAGUCAGCGCUUUGCAAGGGUAGAGGGAAGAAGAGGAGAGGAGUUAAUUGUUUAUUUUGGUUUGGUGUUUCUUUGCUUUUGCUUUAUAAAGAUCAUUAUAAAAAUGAUUCAGUAAAAGGAAAGGAUUUCAGUAUAGGGAAGGGGUGUUUUAUUUGAAAAACAAAAUUCACAGAGGGUAUGAUAGCAGCCUUCCCACAUUUGAAGGAUGUCAUAUGAAAGGGAUUGGGCCCACUGGGUGUGUGGCCCUGGGCUAGACCUGAAAUCACUGCACGCAUGAGGUGUGAUGAGACAAAUUGGGUUCAGCACAUGAAAGUCAUUCCUGCAAUGGGUGCUAUCCCAAGGAAGGCUUUAGGAUGCAGUUACAUUUUCAUUAGUGGAGAUGCAUCUGUGAGUUAGGCUAGUAUUUCUCAACUAUUUUAUGUUUUCAGCACACUUUUGGUUAUAACAAUUUUGGUAGCUUAUUUGAAAAAACUCAAAGCAAUGUUAGCCAGUCAGCAGCAGUGAAAAUGGAUCAUGCUCCCAUGUGACAGUGACCUCAGAAGUACCCUCUGUUUUGUGCUGCCCUCUUGGUUGCCCAUUAGUGCCUCUUUGUUGCUUGAGCAGAAGUGCAUAGUGUUUUGAGUAAGGUUUCUUCUAUGCUGGAAAGGCAACAGUCCUGUUUUCCAGUAAAAAUGCACGUCCCUUUUUGUUGCUCACUGGUUAUACCAUUGCUCCUACUGGAAGAAAUUUGUGCCCUGCUUUCACUCUGCACAGGGUCAUAUCAGUUGUUAGGCUCACAAUUCAAUCUGACGCUAUAAAGGGCAUAUCAGUGAUAAUCUAAGGCAACAGAAUCCACUCUCCCCAGCAAGCACAAAGGGAUUUAAUACUGAUACAGGGAGUUAAGUGCUUACAGAGUCAUUGGAAGAGCCAGAGAGGCAACUAGUUUGAGCCCCUAGGAAUAGCUUGGAGCUCCCACAAUGCUCAGAUUUGCCAUGCUCAAGAAAGAAAGCUGCCACUUCCCAACAAGAAGCUAGUCAGGGCCAGGAAUGGAGCUCAGUGGUGGAGCACUUGCCUGGCACAGCAAGUCCCUAAGUUCAGUCCUCAUUACUGCAAAAGACCAAAACAAAACCAAGCUGAUUAAUCAAGAGGCCAGAGGCUGCUGCCACCUCUACCACUAACUCCAGAACCCCACUGUCAACUGGCCUGCCUCCCCAAAGCUGCCACUGCUACUUUAGACAGCUGCAGAAUCAAGAAGCUGCUGACCCCAGAACCACAAAAUCCUGUCACCAUCUGCAAAAGGUUGCCUUGUACCCUCUCUCUUGAUCUGCCUGGCUCCUUUCCAAACCACAGAUGUGUGAGGACCUCUAAUUCAUGGAAUCCACAUCCAUUGGGAACUCUAGCUUCAGAGGAGUCAAGGGCAGCUUAGUUUUGGCUUUCCAACUUGCACUGUGCAAGGGGGGUGAGGUGAGCAUGGAGCAAGUCACCCACUGUAUCGCCACGAGCAGUAUGUCUCUUCAGUCAUAGUGAAAGCAGCUUGGUCACAUGGAUGGGAAACUUGGUGGCACACUAGUCUAGGUGCCUCUGUGCCUUGGGGUGCCACUGCACAGCUGGCGCCCAUUCUUGGGAGCCAUCUUAUUGGGCAAAGAGGUAAAAAGGGGCACUUCAGCUUCAGAUGGAGGGCUGAGGUGGACUUUCCAGCCACAACUGCCAGUGACCUAUAGCACAAAUGGAAGUGAGGACAUAAGCUCCUGCCUUUCAUUUUAUGACCAGAGAGAAGCACUGCCAGCCAAGAAGUAUUUCCUAGCAUCCACUCUGUACCUAGAGCCUGGGUUAAUGUUUUGCAGGUGGUUGUCUGCACCCGUGUGCCUGGCAUAGUCCUCACAAAGCAGUAACCCAUUGGAGGUGAGAGAAGCAGGGAGAGGUCUGACCCAAGCUGCCAGUGACGUCACUCAGGGAAGGCACAUUGCACCUGUUCUCCCUAUUCCAAGGGAGUAGUUUCCCAGUGUUUUUGGCUUUCAUAAAUUUCAAUGAGUUAUUUACUCAUCAAACAAAUAUACACAGAACACCUCUGUGUGCUUGGUGCUGGGGAGACCAGGUGAACAAGGCAGAUGAGGUUCCUGCCCUUGUGGACUAGCAUUCUAGUGGAGAGCAGUGGACCAUACACCAACAGACAAGUGCAUAAUCAGGACAGCUUCAGACAGCGGUGAGUGCCAGGGAGUAGGAUGCUACAGGAUAAGGAGUGACCGAAUGUGGGGGGCAGAAUGUGUGCCAGGCCGAGUCAAAGACAGGCAGCUACUGAUGUACAAUGAGGUUAAGGUUGUUUCCAGCAAACAGGAGGAGGAAUGUGCAGGAUGCUGGCAGGUGGGUGUGGCUCUGAGAAGUUCCUCUCGGUCCAUAGGGAAAAUGGCAACUUCAGUGCUCAGGACAGUGAGCCAUCUGUCAAUCCAAGGAGCCUCGUAUGCCUUUUGUUGUGCCUGGAGAGCUGCCUGUUAGCACAGAGCCUCCUUUAGUGCUGCAGCUCUGUUCUUGCAUGGUCUCUUCCCCCACCUUGUGAGCUUUGCAGGCCUGACCAGGUGCCAUGGCUGCAGCUCUGUCUGGGGCUCCCAGAUGAGUUCUCAGUGGGCUGCUGUUGCUUCCUCACGGCGCUCGGCAGAGGCUACCUGUGAAACAGGCCAUGCUUCUCUUCACUCCCAUCACUUCAGACCCUUAAUCCUGAGACAUGAGGCACACAGGGCCUUGGGGAGCCGUGGAAGAGAAAAUGGUCAACUCUGCUCCUCAGAGCUUGGCAGUCCACAGGAACCCCAUGCACAGAAACAUUGCUCACAGGAUACCUUCAGGACCAUUCUUCCCUAAAGGACACCUUAGUUCUGUUCAUUUACAGAUGGAGGCAGCUCUGUCUAGGUCUGUGUUUACCUGUUUGCUAGUGAUGGGCAGGUCCACCUCAGCCCGCUCCUCUGAGCUGAUGUGUCCUCUCCUGGCCUGGGCUGGAGCUCUCGUCUCUAGGAGCAGGAAGGAUCUGGACACUGUGGGAAUAGGCCCUCUGUUUUCACUGACUCCCACACUUCCCUGGUCCACUGAAGCCCUGGUUGCUGUGAUGCUCUGCCCCUGUAGUAGGGCUUGCCUUGGUGUCCAGCUUUCCUCCCAAUUCAGGGCAGCAUGGCCACUCCAGAGAGGGUCUGGGUCCGCAUGAUCUCCCAUGACCCACGGCCCUUCUUUUGGUGGAUUCAUGUGUGCUUUUGCUUAACACCUUCCCAGAGUUUCAAGUAGUUCAGAAAUAAGAUACCCUUCUUUUCAGCCCUCUUCAGAUUGGGCCGCUGCUUUUUAGAAAGCUGGGGCAGUGAAAAGAAAAAGAAGAAGCCUGCCCAGUUCUCACCCCUCCAAGUAGGUUGUGUCAGGGUCAGACCCUCAGGACAUUCUUGCCCAUUUCCCUCCCACUACAUAACGUGCGGAGCCCCCGGGCUCUUUUGACAGCAUGUGCACAUAGCUGUGCAGCGGAGACCCUGGCCUUUCUCUUCUUUCAGUAACUGUCCUUCUUUCUAUUGAGCUGUUGUUGGCUUUUAUUUCCAUGAGCUCCAAAAAGUUUUGCAACUCUCCAAGAAGUUCUUCAACUGUUGAAAGACAAUAAAGAUAAAAUGUGUCAGAAGAUUAAAGGAAACAUACACUUUUUUUAAAUUAGAAAAUUAAAACAAGAAAAGAUAAGAGGCAAAAAGAUAAAUGGAUUAUAGUUAAUAGUGGGGAAACAGAAAUGUAGGUGAAGAAUUGAAGUGUG
RNAcentral lists this long non-coding RNA (3906 nucleotides) under Marmota monax (woodchuck). The record is from RNAcentral. Lineage: Eukaryota; Metazoa; Chordata; Mammalia; Rodentia; Sciuridae.